GUACACUCCUACGGGAGGCAGCAGUGGGGAAUUUUGGACAAUGGGCGGAAGCCUGAUCCAGCAAUGCCGCGUGCAGGAUGAAGGCCUUCGGGUUGUAAACUGCUUUUGUACGGAACGAAAAAGCUCCUUCUAAUACAGGGGGCCCAUGACGGUACCGUAAGAAUAAGCACCGGCUAACUACGUGCCAGCAGCCGCGGUAAUACGUAGGGUGCGAGCGUUAAUCGGAAUUACUGGGCGUAAAGCGUGCGCAGGCGGUUAUGUAAGACAGAUGUGAAAUCCCCGGGCUCAACCUGGGAACUGCAUUUGUGACUGCAUGGCUAGAGUACGGUAGAGGGGGAUGGAAUUCCGCGUGUAGCAGUGAAAUGCGUAGAUAUGCGGAGGAACACCGAUGGCGAAGGCAAUCCCCUGGACCUGUACUGACGCUCAUGCACGAAAGCGUGGGGAGCAAACAGGAUUAGAAACCCCGGUAGUCCCAUG
RNAcentral lists this ribosomal RNA (477 nucleotides) under uncultured organism. RNAcentral's name for it is "partial 16S ribosomal RNA". It matches the Rfam family "Bacterial small subunit ribosomal RNA", at positions 331 to 799 of the family's 1533-position model. The record is from RNAcentral.